This 418-nucleotide ribosomal RNA is filed under the name uncultured bacterium. Its description in RNAcentral is "bacterial SSU rRNA". It matches the Rfam family "Bacterial small subunit ribosomal RNA", at positions 530 to 947 of the family's 1533-position model. The record is from RNAcentral.
GGGUACAAGCGUUAAUCGGAAUUACUGGGCGUAAAGCGUGCGUAGGUGGUUUGUUAAGUCAGAUGUGAAAGCCCCGGGCUCAACCUGGGAACUGCAUUUGAAACUGGUAAACUAGAGUAUAGGAGAGGAAAGUGGAAUUUCUGGUGUAGCGGUGAAAUGCGUAGAUAUUACAAGGAACAUCAAUGGCGAAGGCAGCUUUCUGGACUAAUACUGACACUGAGGUACGAAAGCGUGGGUAGCAAACAGGAUUAAAUACCCUGGUAGUCCACGCCGUAAACGAUGAUAACUAGUCGUUGAGGGGGAUUACCCUUUAGUGGCGAAGCUAACGCGUUAAGUUAUCCGCCUGGGGAGUACGGCCGCAAGGUUAAAACUCAAAGGAAUUGACGGGGACCCGCACAAACGGUGGAGCAUGUGGUUU